This 253-nucleotide ribosomal RNA is filed under the name uncultured bacterium. RNAcentral's name for it is "partial 16S ribosomal RNA". It matches the Rfam family "Bacterial small subunit ribosomal RNA", at positions 524 to 776 of the family's 1533-position model. The record is from RNAcentral.
UACAGAGGGGGCAAGCGUUGUUCGGAAUUACUGGGCGUAAAGGGCGCGUAGGCGGCCUUCUAAGUCGAACGUGAAAUCCCUGGGCUCAACCCAGGAACUGCGUCCGAUACUGGAAGGCUUGAAUCCGGGAGAGGGAUGCGGAAUUCCAGGUGUAGCGGUGAAAUGCGUAGAUAUCUGGAGGAACACCGGUGGCGAAGGCGGCAUCCUGGACCGGCAUUGACGCUGAGGCGCGAAAGCCAGGGGAGCAAACGGG